This 1111-nucleotide long non-coding RNA is filed under the name Sus scrofa (pig). RNAcentral describes it as "lncRNA (ENSSSCG00045033499.1)". Lineage: Eukaryota; Metazoa; Chordata; Mammalia; Artiodactyla; Suidae. The record is from RNAcentral.
UUAAUAUACACUGCAGUUGGCCAGAGUCUCAGAGAUUGUCCUGCCCUCCCUGCUCUCCGCACCAGCUGUUCAGGGAAACUGCCAAACUGUAGCAGCCUCUAGCUCAUUUCCCGGGAAGGCCACUACCAGCUGUUCUGCCGUGCUCAGAGCCAGCAACUAGAGGCAUCACUGAAUCUUAGGUCACUGCUUCCACCUCUACUGCAGAUGAGGAAACUGACCAGUUCUGGGGCAGUUACUAUCUACGUGAAAUGACCAGAAGAGGAGAUGGAGCGAAAGGCCCAGGAGACUUCUGUGUCCCAACCACAGCGGCUACGUUACCCUUCCCCAGGCCAGCUCCGUCAGGGAAGCUUCCAGAAUCCAGCGCCAUCUUCCCCGUGAGCAACUGGUGGAGUGCUAGGGGGAAAGCCUGCCCCCUUAUGUACUGCUCCUAGGGGUGGGACACGCCCCUGGUUUCCACAUUUCGAUGCAUCAAUGUAUCAACUACUCUCAGUUUAUCCAGUGUUGAGAAGGGAAAUGCCGUGAUCCUCAUGACUGGCUGGGUGGAGGAGUAGAGACUAGAAUUCUGAAAAACUGUCCCCUUCCCACCUUGGCUGCAGAUCGACAGACGAUUCUUCUGUGUGUUAGGCAGAGAUUUUUCUUUAUCUUGAAGACGAGUGAUACAUGGAGGAACUCUAGUAUAUAGAGAAAGGAACAAAGAUAAGAUGAAUCCACACUAAAAAGACACCUUAAUCUUAAUUUGUUUGACCAGGUAAUUUUUGCCUUUGGGUAUAAUUUUUUGUUGUUGAGAGUCAUUGCUUCACAGAUCACAUGUUACGGGGAAGACAGUGAAAUUAAAGAUGUUCUCUCUGUGUGUGUCUUGGACUUGAUUGACAGCCAUGCCCUCCAUACAUAGUAGAAAACACAUUUCCUGGAAGCUCCAAAAUCAUGGGCUUGAACCUCGGGAAAAGAUAGACCUUAUCGGAUUUCCCAUCGUGGCGCAAAUCCGGUAAGUUCCGUGGCAGAUUUCCUGUUAAUGAAUCCAACUAGGAACCACUGGCCUUGCUCAGUGGGUUAAGGAUCUGGCAUUGCCGUGAGCUGUGGUGUGGGUUGCAGAUGCAGCUCAGAUCCCGAG